UACUAGUAGUACAUGUAGAACUAGUUCUACAAGUACUAGUAGUACAUGUAGAACUAGUUCUACUAGUACUAGUAG
Molecule: transfer RNA, 75 nt
Filed under: Amborella trichopoda
Lineage: Eukaryota; Viridiplantae; Streptophyta; Magnoliopsida; Amborellales; Amborellaceae
Description: tRNA AMTR_s04722t00273270
Source: RNAcentral